Molecule: long non-coding RNA, 1384 nt
Filed under: Sus scrofa (pig)
Lineage: Eukaryota; Metazoa; Chordata; Mammalia; Artiodactyla; Suidae
Description: lncRNA (ENSSSCG00025021313.1)
Source: RNAcentral
GCUGUAGGUGUGGCAGAUGGAAGUUCCCAAGCUAGGAGAUGAAUCAGAGCUGCAGCUCCCUACCUACGCCACAACCAUAGUAACACCAGAUCCAAGUCAUGUCUGUGACCUACACCACAGAUCAUGGCAAUGUCGGAUCCUUAACCCACUGAUGGGGGCCAGGGAUCAAACCCGAAACCUCAUGGAUACUAGUCAGGUUCAUUUCCACUGAGCCACAGUGGGAACUCCCACAAUGCAUAUUUUAGAAGAGAGAGGGUUCAAGAGUAUUGCAAUGAUCCAGUUAUGUGAUUAGAGGGGUGGCAGUGGGCUUGGAAAGGAUGUAAGAAAUUUUGAAAGAAGAUCAGACAAAGUCUGGUGAUUGAUUCCAGACAGGGAGCGGGGAGCAAGGCAAAGAGAGAAACCACCUUUGUCUGAAGGCCCAUAAUGUUGAGCAAAUAGAGAAAAAGAAACAAAAGGCGCAGAAAAAGAAGGACCAAGAAAGAGUUGGAGGAAUCUCAUGAGAGGGUUUCAGAGUGAAAGAAUCCUGAACAAUGUCAGAUACUGCAAAGAUCUCAAGGAGACUGACAACUGAGGAAAACUAUUAAGAUUGUCAACCAGGAGCUCCUGUCGUGGCUCAGUGGAAAAGAAUGAGACUAGCAUCCAUGAGAACAUAGGUUUGAUCUCUGGCAUCCCUCAGUGGGUUAAGGAUCUGGCAUUGCCAUGAGCUGCAGUGUGGGUCACAGACACAGCUCAGAUCUGGCAUUGCUAUGGCUGUGGCAUAGGCUGGCGGCUACAGCUCCGAUUCGACCCCUAGUCUGGGAACCUCCAGAUGCCGCAGGUGUGCCCCUGAAAAGAAAAAAAAAAAGAUUGUCAACCAGGAAGUUAUUGGUACCAUGCGAGGGGGCAUAUUGGCAGUGGUUGUGAUGGUGGUGGUGGUAGUUAGUGGCUAGAGCUAGACUGGAAGGGACUCAGUGGUUGGGGAGAGGCAGAGACGACAAAAGCAGAGUUCAGAAAAAAGUCUUCUCAACAGUAGGGCGAUUUCUCUGUUUGCAGGUAGAAACAAAAGGAGAGAAAAGGGUUAAAGAUGCCUGAGAGAGACCCAGGAGCCAAGGCAGCCAAGGCAGAGCAGGAGGCAAGGAAGGACUGGAACGUGCAAAUGGAGGGGCUGGCCUUGGCACAAAGAGAGAGGAGAGAGGAGGUGGGCAGACACAGAGGGAUGCUGGCAUCCUGAUGGGGGUGGAGGGGGCAGUUAAAAUGUGCCCCCGGGUCUCCCAUGUGGGACCUGCCAAUGCCUGGACUUACCAACUGCUUGGAACUCUGCAUUGAGGGUGAGAAGGACGGCGAGGAGGAGCAGGAGGCAGAGGCCACCCAGCUUCAUGUUGCCGGCUGAGGACUGGUCGGUGGU